This 341-nucleotide unclassified non-coding RNA is filed under the name soil metagenome. RNAcentral's name for it is "partial contains 5.8S ribosomal RNA, internal transcribed spacer 2, and large subunit ribosomal RNA". The stretch from base 1 to 120 matches the Rfam family "5.8S ribosomal RNA", at positions 35 to 154 of the family's 154-position model. The record is from RNAcentral.
GAUGAAGAACGUAGCGAAAUGCGAUAAGUAGUGUGAAUUGCAAAAUUCAGUGAAUCAUCGAAUCUUUGAACGCACAUUGCGCCCUUUGGUAUUCCAAAGGGCAUGCCUGUUCGAGCGUCAUUUGUACCCUCAAGCUUUGCUUGGUGUUGGGCGUCUUGUCUCUAGCUUUGCUGGAGACUCGCCUUAAAGUAAUUGGCAGCCGGCCUACUGGUUUCGGAGCGCAGCACAAGUCGCACUCUCUAUCAGCAAAGGUCUAGCAUCCAUUAAGCCUUUUUUUCAACUUUUGACCUCGGAUCAGGUAGGGAUACCCGCUGAACUUAAGCAUAUCAAUAAGCGGAGGA